This 428-nucleotide long non-coding RNA is filed under the name Monodelphis domestica (gray short-tailed opossum). Its description in RNAcentral is "lncRNA (ENSMODG00000047755.1)". The record is from RNAcentral. Lineage: Eukaryota; Metazoa; Chordata; Mammalia; Didelphimorphia; Didelphidae.
AUGAAGUGGAAGAAGUUUGGGAUGUGCCCACUUAGGAUCAUGUGGCCCUGGCCUGCCCUGUCCUUGGCUCCCAGGAGUUCAGACACUUGGCCUCACCAAAGAGCCUACUUGAAGAGAGCUCAAAUUAAAGGUCUUUGUUAUGUGAAAUGGAUCUCAGGGAGGGAGAAAAGGGACAUGGAGAAAUCAAGUAUUUUUCAGGCUCAAUAUGACUUGAAUUGGACUAUUUCCGUGCCAUUUGCCAUGCGACUUCUUAACAGAGAAAUAUCCUACAAAGAAGACUAAUUUGGUUGGACCACAGAGAUCAUGAAAAACAGAAAAUGUACUGUGAACCUGGAGAAGUAGACUGAAGCUGGAUUUCAAUGGAUUUUAAAUGUUAUAAAGAGGAUUUUUAAUUUGAGAGACAAUAAAGAUCAGUCAUUGCAUGAGCA